Molecule: transfer RNA, 68 nt
Filed under: Marmota monax (woodchuck)
Lineage: Eukaryota; Metazoa; Chordata; Mammalia; Rodentia; Sciuridae
Description: tRNA.Val
Rfam family: tRNA (bases 5-65)
About the family: Transfer RNA (tRNA) molecules are approximately 80 nucleotides in length. Their secondary structure includes four short double-helical elements and three loops (D, anti-codon, and T loops).
Source: RNAcentral
GGACUGUAGCUCAGUGGUAGGGUGCUUGCCUCACAUGCAUGUGGCCCUGGGUUCGAUCUUCAGCACCA